AGAGUUUGAUCCUGGCUCAGAACGAACGCUGGCGGCAGGCCUAACACAUGCAAGUCGAGCGCACCUUUAGAACUUCGGUUUUAUGGGCGAGCGGCGGACGGGUUAGUAACGCGUGGGAACGUGCCCUUCUCUACGGAAUAGCCAUUGGAAACGAUGAGUAAUACCGUAUACGCCCUUCGGGGGAAAGAUUUAUCGGAGAAGGAUCGGCCCGCGUAAGAUUAGAUAGUUGGUGGGGUAACGGCCUACCAAGUCUACGAUCUUUAGCUGGUUUUAGAGGAUGAUCAGCAACACUGGGACUGAGACACGGCCCAGACUCCUACGGGAGGCAGCAGUGGGGAAUCUUGGACAAUGGGCGCAAGCCUGAUCCAGCCAUGCCGCGUGUGUGAUGAAGGCCCUAGGGUCGUAAAGCACUUUCGCCAGAGAUGAUAAUGACAGUAUCUGGUAAAGAAGUCCCGGCUAACUCCGUGCCAGCAGCCGCGGUAAUACGGAGGGGACUAGCGUUGUUCGGAAUUACUGGGCGUAAAGCGUACGUAGGCGGAUCAGAAAGUAAGGGGUGAAAUCCCAGGGCUCAACCCUGGAACUGCCUCUUAAACUCCUGGUCUUGAGUUCGAGAGAGGUGAGUGGAAUUCCGAGUGUAGAGGUGAAAUUCGUAGAUAUUCGGAGGAACACCAGUGGCGAAGGCGGCUCACUGGCUCGAUA
RNAcentral lists this ribosomal RNA (699 nucleotides) under uncultured bacterium. RNAcentral describes it as "bacterial SSU rRNA". It matches the Rfam family "Bacterial small subunit ribosomal RNA", at positions 8 to 739 of the family's 1533-position model. The record is from RNAcentral.